This 209-nucleotide long non-coding RNA is filed under the name Elaeis guineensis (African oil palm). RNAcentral describes it as "long non-coding RNA (EGUI_LNC068196)". Lineage: Eukaryota; Viridiplantae; Streptophyta; Magnoliopsida; Arecales; Arecaceae. The record is from RNAcentral.
CGUCUCUCUGAACCCCCUCGACCAUUUCGAGCUUCCGAACUUCUCCGAUAAUGAGCUUCUCCAUCCAUUUACCGGACUGCUCCAAAGGCUCUCUAGGCCUCACUAUCAGCCGACCUUCUACAGUGAUCAACUAUUCUCCGAACUUUUUUCGGACUUCGUCGAUAUCUGAGCUUCUUUGACAACGAGAUUGCUACAAUAAUCAGACUCCA